CAUUAACGAGUUAGGGUCUUCUAGGCCCGACCUCCCAACCCUAUGUUUAUUGAACCUCUGUUGCUUCGGCGGACCCGCCUCACGGCCGCCGGAGGACCGCCGCAAGGCGUCCUCUGGCCAGCGUCCGCCGAUGGCCAACCACUUAAACUCUGAAUGAAUCGUGUCAUAUGUCUAAGUCUAUGAUUAAAUUAAAGCAAAACUUUCAACAACGGAUCUCUUGGUUCUGGCAUCGAUGAAGAACGCAGCGAAAUGCGAUAAGUAAUGCGAAUUGCAGAAUUCCAGUGAGUCAUCGAAUCUUUGAACGCACAUUGCGCCCUUUGGUAUUCCGAAGGGCAUGCCUGUUCGAGCGUCAUUAUCACCCCUCAAGCCCCGUGCUUGGUGUUGGACGGCCGGUCGAGCGAUCGACCCCUCCUAAAGACAAUGACGGCGGCCUGUGGUUCCCCCGGUACACUGAGCUUUUAACUGAGCACGUAUCGGACAAGGGCACCCGGGACCCGGUCCUCUCCUUUAACUAGGAAACUUCUAAGGUUGACCUCGGAUCAGGUAGGAAUACGCGCUGAACUUAAGCAUAUCAAUAAGCGCAGGAAAAGAAACCAACAGGGAUUACCUCAGUAACGGCGAGUGAAGCGGUAAUAGCUCAAAUUUGAAAUCUGGCCUCUCGGGGUCCGAGUUGUAAUUUGUAGAGGAUGUUUUGGGUACCGCCCCGGUCUAAAUUUCUUGGAACAGAAUGUCAAAGAGGGUGAGAAUCCCGUCUUGGACCGGCGGUAGGGCCUGUGUAAAACUCCUUC
RNAcentral lists this ribosomal RNA (788 nucleotides) under fungal sp. RNAcentral's name for it is "eukaryotic LSU rRNA". The stretch from base 530 to 788 matches the Rfam family "Eukaryotic large subunit ribosomal RNA", at positions 1 to 258 of the family's 3401-position model. The record is from RNAcentral. Lineage: Eukaryota; Fungi.